GAUCAUGGCUCAGAACGAACGCUGGCGGCGCGUUUAAGCAUGCAAGUCGAGCGGCAAGGGCCUUCGGGCCCCUAGAGCGGCGGACGGGUGAGUAACACGUGGACAAUCUGCCCCCCGGCCCGGGAUAGCCCAGGGAAACCUGGAUUAAUACCGGAUGAGACGGGACCCGCGAUGGCGGGACCCGGGAAAGGCGCUGCGGCGCCGCCGGGGGAUGAGUCUGCGUCCCAUUAGCUAGACGGCGGGUAACGGCCCACCGUGGCGACGAUGGGUAGCCGGCCUGAGAGGGUGGACGGCCACAUUGGAACUGAGACACGGUCCAGACUCCUACGGGAGGCAGCAGCUAAGAAUCUUCCGCAAUGGGCGAAAGCCUGACGGAGCCGACGCCGCGUGAACGAAGAAGGCCGUGAGGUUGUAAAGUUCUUUUCGGGAGGGGGAACAACCGUGGCAGGGAAUGGCCGCGGGAUGACGUGAAUCCCGGAAUAAGCCCCGGCUAACUACGUGCCAGCAGCCGC
Molecule: ribosomal RNA, 512 nt
Filed under: uncultured bacterium
Lineage: Bacteria
Description: bacterial SSU rRNA
Rfam family: Bacterial small subunit ribosomal RNA
Source: RNAcentral